CGCUAGUAAUCGUAGAUCAGAAUGCUACGGUGAAUACGUUCCCGGGCCUUGUACACACCGCCCGUCACACCAUGGGAGUGGGUUGCAAAAGAAGUAGGUAGCUUAACCUUCGGGAGGGCGCUUACCACUUUGUGAUUCAUGACUGGGGUGAAGUCGUAACAAGGUAACCGUAGGGGAACCUGCGGUUGGAUCACCUCCUUACCUUAAAGAA
RNAcentral lists this ribosomal RNA (211 nucleotides) under Klebsiella pneumoniae. Its description in RNAcentral is "partial 16S ribosomal RNA". It matches the Rfam family "Bacterial small subunit ribosomal RNA", at positions 1333 to 1533 of the family's 1533-position model. The record is from RNAcentral. Lineage: Bacteria; Pseudomonadati; Pseudomonadota; Gammaproteobacteria; Enterobacterales; Enterobacteriaceae.